RNAcentral lists this ribosomal RNA (266 nucleotides) under uncultured bacterium. Its description in RNAcentral is "partial 16S ribosomal RNA". It matches the Rfam family "Bacterial small subunit ribosomal RNA", at positions 467 to 733 of the family's 1533-position model. The record is from RNAcentral.
UAAUGACGGUACCAUAGGAGGAAGCCCCGGCUAACUACGUGCCAGCAGCCGCGGUAAUACGUAGGGGGCGAGCGUUGUCCGGAAUUAUUGGGCGUAAAGGGUGCGUAGGCGGCGUAGUAAGUCAGAUGUGAAAGCCAUGGGCNCAACCGAUGUAAGCAUUUGAAACUGCAAGGCUUGAGNNNNNGAGAGGAGAGUGGAAUUCCUAGUGUAGCGGUGAAAUGCGUAGAUAUUAGGAGGAACACCAGUGGCGAAGGCGACUCUCUGGA